UACAGAGGGUGCAAGCGUUAAUCGGAAUUACUGGGCGUAAAGCGCGCGUAGGUGGUUUGUUAAGUCGGGUGUGAAAGCCCUCGGCUCAACCGAGGAAGUGCGCCCGAAACUGCAGAGCUUGAGUACCGGAGAGGGUGGCGGAAUUCCCCAAGUAGAGGUGAAAUUCGUAGAUAUGGGGAGGAACACCGGUGGCGAAGGCGGCCACCUGGACGGAUACUGACGCUGAGACGCGAAAGCGUGGGGAGCGAACAGG
RNAcentral lists this ribosomal RNA (253 nucleotides) under uncultured bacterium. Its description in RNAcentral is "partial 16S ribosomal RNA". It matches the Rfam family "Bacterial small subunit ribosomal RNA", at positions 524 to 776 of the family's 1533-position model. The record is from RNAcentral.